RNAcentral lists this ribosomal RNA (265 nucleotides) under uncultured archaeon. RNAcentral's name for it is "partial 16S ribosomal RNA". It matches the Rfam family "Archaeal small subunit ribosomal RNA", at positions 718 to 982 of the family's 1478-position model. The record is from RNAcentral.
AGUCACUGACAUUAGAUACCCCGGUAGUCCCAGCCCUAAACGAUGCGCGUUAGGUGUAUCGGUGACCACGAGUCACCGAGGUGCCGAAGGGAAACCGUGAAACGUGCCGCCUGGGAAGUACGGUCGCAAGGCUGAAACUUAAAGGAAUUGGCGGGGGAGCACAACAACGGGUGGAGCUUGCGGUUUAAUUGGAUUCAACGCCGGAAAUCUUACCGGGACCGACAGCAACAUGAAGGCCAAGCUGAAGACUUUGCCGGAUUAGCUG